AACGCACAUUGCGCCCGCCAGUAUUCUGGCGGGCAUGCCUGUUCGAGCGUCAUUUCAACCCUCAAGCCCCUGCUGUGGACUUGGUGUUGGGGACCGGCGAUGGACAACCGUCCUGUCGCCGCCCCCUAAAUGAAUUGGCGGCCUCGUCGCGGCCCUCCUCUGCGUAGUAGCACACACCUCGCAACAGGAGCCCGGCGAAUGGCCACUGCCGUAAAACCCCCAACUUUUUUUCAGAGUUGACCUCGAAUCAGGUAGGAAUACCCGCUGAACUUAA
Molecule: unclassified non-coding RNA, 274 nt
Filed under: uncultured fungus
Lineage: Eukaryota; Fungi
Description: partial contains 5.8S ribosomal RNA, internal transcribed spacer 2, and large subunit ribosomal RNA
Rfam family: 5.8S ribosomal RNA (bases 1-52)
Source: RNAcentral